UACAGAGGGUGCAAGCGUUAAUCGGAAUUACUGGGCGUAAAGCGUGCGUAGACGGUUAUGUAAGUCAGAUGUGAAAGCCCCGGGCUCAACCUGGGAAUUGCAUUUGAGACUGCAUAGCUAGGGUGCGGAAGAGGGAAGCGGAAUUUCCGGUGUAGCGGUGAAAUGCGUAGAUAUCGGGAGGAACACCAGUGGCGAAAGCGGCUUCCUGGUCCAGCACCGACGUUCAGGCACGAAAGCGUGGGGAGCAAACAGG
Molecule: ribosomal RNA, 253 nt
Filed under: uncultured bacterium
Lineage: Bacteria
Description: partial 16S ribosomal RNA
Rfam family: Bacterial small subunit ribosomal RNA
Source: RNAcentral